Molecule: unclassified non-coding RNA, 117 nt
Organism: Macaca fascicularis (crab-eating macaque)
Lineage: Eukaryota; Metazoa; Chordata; Mammalia; Primates; Cercopithecidae
Rfam family: Metazoan signal recognition particle RNA
About the family: The signal recognition particle (SRP) is a universally conserved ribonucleoprotein.
Source: Ensembl
GCUGGGCAUGGUCGCUCAUGCCUGUAAUCCCAGCACUUUGGGAGGCUGAGGUGGGUGGAUCACUUGAGGUCAGGAGUUUGAGACCAGCCUGGCCAACAUAGUGAAACCCCGUCUCUA